UUGAGAUAAAAUAAGAUCCCUUUUAAACCUUCCCUUGAAUCUUGAGCUAAAGCCAGACUGCUUGUUUCCUGAGAUCCCUUUUCCUCCCCAGUCCUUUACAGUCCUCCUCCCCUGCCCAUCCCCACCAUGCUCCAGCCCCUGUCUGGCCUUGUUUAAGAGUCAGUUUCAAUAGUACCUUUGUUAAGGGAGAAAUCUCAUUAAAUGUGAGGUAAGAGGAAAUGAAAAAGUGUAAAAUAUCCAGAUUUAUUACCUGUUGUCUUCUGAGCAUUUGAAAAUCAGGAGCUGGGGGCAAUGGGGUGAGGUAUCAAAGCUCUUUAACAUUGCUGCACUGCUGACUUCUACUCUGAGCUCACUGCUUACUUGUAGCACUUGUUUUAUUGCAAGGAAGAUGAUAUGAGUUUUGUGCUCUUUAGGAUAAAGAAGAAUUGGCCCUAAUGCGCACAAGCACUGACUUGGAGCUCCGUUAGCCCAUAUGCAUGCAGGAUGCACUGAGCACUGGGAGAGCAACAUCGCAUCCUCCUUUGGGUGGUGUUUGGAAUAACCCAUCCCCAGUGGUUCCCCUGAGCUGCUGCCAUCCCAUUCCUCCCAUGGCAGCAUUGGAGUGAUGCUGUGAUUGCUUCAGCAAAAAGAAUGCAGCUCUACUAAUGGAAACUCCGCUUCCUUGUACCUCAACGCCACAUGUUUGAUCAUUGAAGGGCAAGAAAAUAUAUGUUGCCUUGUAGCUGCGGAUAUCAAAUUCCAAUGUAAAACCCAAGGAAAAACAUGAAGGCUGUGGAGAGCUGGAUGUGGGCUUAACUCUGCGCUGGCCAUGGAGUGGAGGCAAUCCCAAGGGUCCCAACAGUGCCAGCACCCUGAGAACAGAUGGGCAGGCAGACAAACAGACAAGCAGGCAGACAGAUGGACACAGGAUGGAUACCAGCACACAGCUCCUCUCCUCCUCCUGCACACUGAGCAGGCAGCUCACGCCCAGCUGUAGUCUGUGAGGCUUUUUAUGAAACAGUAUUUUAUUAAAUAAACAAACUGGAGCAAUUCCAACAGAUUUACGAACACUUCCUCUCCUCUCACUUGUUCGACCCAUUGCAGAUUUAUGGUUCUGCGUUAACCUCAUGAGCACUCAUAAAGUUUACUAAGAUAAUGCUGGCAGGAGGGAGAAGGGAUUUUUAUGGGUAAGUAAUAAUUACAA
This is a non-coding RNA of Coturnix japonica (Japanese quail), 1183 nucleotides long. Lineage: Eukaryota; Metazoa; Chordata; Aves; Galliformes; Phasianidae. The record is from RefSeq and is a predicted model, not a curated record.